This 1341-nucleotide long non-coding RNA is filed under the name Canis lupus familiaris (dog). Its description in RNAcentral is "lncRNA (ENSCAFG00040006485.1)". Lineage: Eukaryota; Metazoa; Chordata; Mammalia; Carnivora; Canidae. The record is from RNAcentral.
GGACCGGGCCGGGGAGGCCCGGGGCGGGGGCCGCGGCGAGCCGAGCGCGGGCGCGCAGGGCGGACAGGCCGGGGCCGAACCACUCGGGGACUGCGGGGCGCCGGGCGCCACAGCACAGCCACGGGCGCCGGAGCCGGCUCGCGCCUGCGCGAGUCUCCGGGUCUGGCCGCCGCCGCGUGCCCUCGGCGGGGAGGCUGGCGGCGGGGGGCCCGGAAGCCGUAUUCUCCGGAUAACAGUCGCCACCAAAGGACGAACAAGCCUCCCCUCGGGAACAGGUGGCUGGCUAAGUCGUCCUCGGGUGCGAACGCGUCGACACCCACUUGGAACCACUGGGCCACCAGGGCUGCCCUUGGCAUAAGUUUUUAUGUAAUAUUUCUUCUGAUUCUUUUCCUCUCUUCUAUGUUUUUUUUCUCAUUCAUAAUUUUAUAUUACUUUUUUUGCUCCUUUCCCUUAAAUCAGGCUUGAGAAGGGCUUAUGUAUUUUAAAAACAAACACACAAAAUAACUAUUACUUUAAUAUAUCCCUUUAUACUAUAUUUUUAUUUCUAUUUAAGUAUUUUUAGUGUUUCUUUGUAUUAAUUUCCUAUUCAUAAUUUCUUGUGGCUUAUUUUUUGCUUUUUUUAUUUUCCUGAGAUGAGAACCCUGGGAUCCUUUUCACUAAAUGCUUUUUUAGCAAGAAAGAGAAGGAGGAGGAAGAGCAGGAGAAAGAGGGGGGGGAAAUGAAAACUUGGCUUUUUCUUUUGAACUAGCUUUAGCUGUUGUGCCACAGGUACUGAAAUGAAAUGGUUUCCUUUUCAUUUUCUACUUUAUAAUUCAAGUUUUGAUUUCUUCUUCAUCCUUUAUUUUCAAAUAGUAGAUAAAUUGGAUUUUGCUUUAUGUUUAUUCUUAACUUUAUUGGAUUAUUUUUUAUAAAGUCCUACCUUUAUUUAAAAAGAAAAUAUGUUGGCUACUUGAAUUUGAAUUGAAAGAAAGAAAGAAAGAAAGAAAGAAAGAAAGAAAGAAAGAAAGAAAAAAUAUUGUGUGUUUCUAUGUAAGCCACAAUAUAAUCAAUUUUCUAUGAACAAAUCCCCAAAUCUUUUCUCUCUGUUUCAAAGAAACAGAGGUCUAUAUUCAUUACAUCAACUUUAUUAAUUGCAUUAUAUAAUUACUUUGUAUCCAUACUUUUUAAAAAAGAUUUUAUUUAUUCAUGAGAGACAGAAAGAGAGAGGCAAAAACACAGGCAGAGGGAGAAGCAGGCUCCCUGCAGGGAACCCAAUGUGGGACUCCAUCCCCAGGACCCAGGGACCACACCCUGAGCCAAAGGCAGCCGCUCAACCACUGAGCCUCCAGGCAUCCCUGCAUC